Molecule: ribosomal RNA, 301 nt
Filed under: uncultured bacterium
Lineage: Bacteria
Description: partial 16S ribosomal RNA
Rfam family: Bacterial small subunit ribosomal RNA
Source: RNAcentral
CAGUCGCCGCGGUAAUACGAAGGGGGCUAGCGUUGUUCGGAAUUACUGGGCGUAAAGCGCACGUAGGCGGAUAUUUAAGUCAGGGGUGAAAUCCCGCAGCUCAACUGCGGAACUGCCUUUGAUACUGGGUAUCUUGGGUAUGGAAGAGGUAAGUGGAAUUGCGAGUGUAGAGGUGAAAUUCGUAGAUAUUCGCAGGAACACCAGUGGCGAAGGCGGCUUACUGGUCCAUUACUGACGCUGAGGUGCGAAAGCGUGGGGAGCAAACAGGAUUAGAGACCCCCGUAGUCCCUGUCUCUUAUAC